UACGUAGGCAGCAAGCGUUGUUCGGAAUUACUGGGCGUAAAGAGUGUGUAGGCGGUGCUCUAAGUUUGGUGUGAAAUCUCCCGGCUCAACUGGGAGGGUGCGCCGAAAACUGGAAUGCUUGAACAUGGGAGAGGAAAGCGGAAUUCCUGGUGUAGCGGUGAAAUGCGUAGAUAUCAGGAGGAACACCUGCGGUGUAGACGGCUUUCUGGACCAUUGCUGACGCUGAGACACGAAAGCGUGGGUAGCAAACAGG
Molecule: ribosomal RNA, 253 nt
Filed under: uncultured bacterium
Lineage: Bacteria
Description: partial 16S ribosomal RNA
Rfam family: Bacterial small subunit ribosomal RNA
Source: RNAcentral